CCAGGAAGAUCAUGCUAAUAUCAUUUGGACAUACAUAACAUCUGCUGCAUUUGGCUCGUAGCAUUUAGAGGGACAUGGCAUUUGCCAGCCUCAGUAGGUAUAGUUGCAGAUCACUUGGAGUUAAGCGUUGCAGUGAUCUGAAAAUUGUCAUAUCAUUUCUCCUACUUGUGUAGUGCAAAGUACAACCACAGCAUGAAGCACUCGUGUCAGGUGCGUGCCAUAAAGUGCAGUUGGCACAACUGAAAACCCUCAUAUUAAAGAGGUGGUGUAGCCUGAGAUUUAGAAGGAUGGCAUUGCCUCAGCUAACCUCAUGAAGUGAUGCAAACUAUUGAAAAGUACAAUUUGAGCCUCUCCAGUAAGAAAAAAAAAAAUCUAGUCUGCGUCUACUAGCGAGGGGAGGAAUCAGGACCUCCUCUAUGUUUUCUGCUCCACUCUCUAGACUCCCCUGGAGUAGACAAACUGCCAGGUUACCCCUCUCUCUUCUGUAUCUUUUGUGGGAUGUGUACCUUUCUGACAAAGCUAAUUUCACAGAAGACCUGUAAACUCCAGGGCAGAUAGCUGCACCUGGACCAGCUGACCCCUCAAAGUGGUGUUGCUCUGUUUUUUGGGUGUGUAAUUUGGCUUAUGUAUUAGAUAAAGCCUUUACAGUUCAGAGCUGGGAGCAGCAGUAAGAAGCACUAAAGAGCUUUAUUUUAUUUUUCUAAACUAAUUUAAAAUUUGCAGGUUUUUCUGUUUUGGAAGAUCUCACAAGUUGCAAGGCUAUUCCCUUCACAGACUUCCCUCUUCUUUGCUGCUCCAAGAGCUGUGUGGAAGCAAAGGGGCGGCUGGCCCCGUAGCUAGCACAUGUCGUCGCGACUGCAGCCGUCAGCCUGUGGUAGCCCCGCUCCAAAGAUUCGCACUCCUCCUGCUGAAGGUUCACCAGGGAAUAGCUCUGGAGAAGGAGAAUAUUUUUGGUAGAGGGCCUGAAGUACCUUGGCUUGCCUCGUUUGAAGAGGGCAGAGCCACUUCCUUUUCCUAAUGUUACUUGGGAAGAGAUGCCCUAUUCUUUUGGGUUUGGUGGAAAAAUAAGGCACUCAAGAAUUACAGACUUUUAUUGAUGUGGCACUUACUGAGGUGGUGAGCUGCCGACACGGCCAGAAGGCCACCUCUAACCAUUUUUUAACCAGGGAACCUCUAGUUACUCUUUCAUUAGCACCUCUUUCAUCCACCUGAAAUGGAAAAUUGUGUGGUUUUGACCUUCACAAAGAAUCUAGCCCUUUUAUAUACACCUUUAUUGAGUGUCUGAAACUAUUUUAGGGAGCUGUGCGUUAUUAAAAGACAAAUGCUUUAAUUUUUGAGCACAGGAAUUAGCAGAGUCAGAGCAAUCCAUGAAAUUGGAAGGCACAAUCUCUUCCCAGUGGAGCCAUAUUUGGUAGGAUAAGAAGACUCAUUUUGACAUCACAGUCCAAAUUCAGAGGGAAAAUAGCAACUACUCAAGGCAACAAAUAUCUCCCAAGGAAAUGGGACCAAGAAAAUGGCUUCAGCAAGGGUAAGAAAAACAGUAGGAAAGUCAGUUUCAUACCAUCCCACUGAUCGUUUUUUUCUGCUGUAAAUCCAGAAUUCUACCUUCUCUGAGCAAAACAGAAUCAAAAAUCUCUGGGAAGAGGUUGUGCUCAUUCAAGUUUAGUCUGAAUUUUGCUCUAUUUUUCUGAUUUUUCCUGCAGUUCAUGUGAAUUACAACUACAGUUUUACAACCAAUUUAAAAUAGUUUAUUGAAAGAGUAAACAUUGCAUCACUUACUAAACUGCCAGAAAUGUCUGUAUGUUCCUAAAUGAACCCAUGUCUACAUCUCUAAUUUUCACACUUGUAAUUUUAACAAAAAACAUUUUACUAGGCAGCAGAUUUAUUUUCUUUUUGUUAUUAUAUGAAGCCGUUCCGUUGUUUGGGAAGUGGCAGUAGUCAGUCAGCAGCAAAUUGUGCUUGUAUGCAAAUGCUUGGUAAUAUCUGAAAGCACAGUUCUGAUUAUUUAUGAGCUAAUUGUCCAAAACAUGUUGCAGUUGAUCCUCAUAAAUACUAGGCAUUAAGAAAACAAGAAACAGCAUAAAUAAAGUUCCGGUCUUUCAGCA
Long non-coding RNA from Apteryx rowi (Okarito brown kiwi), 2105 nucleotides. Lineage: Eukaryota; Metazoa; Chordata; Aves; Apterygiformes; Apterygidae. The record is from Ensembl.